UACAGAGGGUGCAAGCGUUAAUCGGAAUUACUGGGCGUAAAGCGUGCGUAGACGGUUAUGUAAGUCGGGUGUGAAAGCCCCGGGCUCAACCUGGGAAUGCCAUUCGAGACUGCAUAGCUAGGGUGCGGAAGAGGGAAGCGGAAUUUCCGGUGUAGCGGUGAAAUGCGUAGAUAUCAGGAGGAACACCGGUGGCGAAGGCGGCUAUCUGGACAGAGUCUGACGCUGAGGCACGAAAGCUAGGGGAGCAAACAGG
RNAcentral lists this ribosomal RNA (253 nucleotides) under uncultured bacterium. Its description in RNAcentral is "partial 16S ribosomal RNA". It matches the Rfam family "Bacterial small subunit ribosomal RNA", at positions 524 to 776 of the family's 1533-position model. The record is from RNAcentral.